Molecule: long non-coding RNA, 2630 nt
Organism: Herpailurus yagouaroundi (jaguarundi)
Lineage: Eukaryota; Metazoa; Chordata; Mammalia; Carnivora; Felidae
Exons: 5
Source: RefSeq, a predicted model, not a curated record
GGGGGAAAAGGUGACCGAACUCUGGAUUUUGUCUGCCUCUCCAGUGCUUCACUGCCGUGUUCUGGGUGCCAUUAUUAACAUUACUCAGUUGUACAUGGCUAAGUGAUCCAGCCCGGGACCAUUAGUGCAUUUCCCUUAACGCGUCUGGCAUACAAAUUCAUUUCUAGGGGUAUGGAAACAGCCCUCCAUCUUGAGCCCGAGCCCCAUGAUUUGUAGUACAUUCUGUAUUAAUUGCUCACUAUUCUGGGAACUUCACAUAUCAAUUUGACUCUGUCAUAUAGUGUGACCAUUCACCGCAAAUGUGUUUGAUAUAUAUCCUUGCAGCAGCAACUGCUGAAAUGAACAGAUAUUCCUUUUUAUCAUAAAAUGAGUUAUAUCCUAGGCCCUCAGGCUUGAAAGGGGGGGGGUGUGGAGCCACCUACAUAAAUAAUAAGGGAAAGAGAGACCUUCAUUUAUAAGUUUAGGUGAAACAUCUGGCAAGUGGGCGAUAUUUAGAUUGUAGGAAACAUAGAUGCUUGGCAUCUUCCACGGUGGAGACGGUCAGGUCCUCCAGAAACACAGUCGGCUCACAAAAUGUGGUCGGGAAGCGUGCUCUCUGCUUGUCUCAGGAGAGGCCCCAGGACAGUGAGGGUGGCUGGGAGAUUCCUGGGGCCUCGCAUCACUUUUACAUCAAAAUGAAGAGCAGUGAGAACAGGUUCCAUCACUAUUUUCCUCUCCAAGGCACUCCAGUUGCAAGAACUUUCUGGAAUUUCUGUCAGGGCACAAAUUCCCAGAAUUGCAUUUGGGCCCCUCACCUGUAUUUCCUCUCUCUCCGCUGACCUCAGAACGCAGGAUGAGGUGAAUCCUGAUUUUGCCCAACCGCACAGAACACAGCUUGCCGAACCACCAAAUUAUAGGAAAUAACCGAAGCUCUGGGCAAAAAUAUGGAUCGAAAGGCCCCACUCAUGAGGGUGUUGAAAUCUGCUGAGAUUUAUUUUGAUGAAGAUGGAGGCCCCCAAAUGUGGGGUGAAUGGAUCAGGUGGAAGAUGGCAGCGUGGGUGGUGAAAGAAUUCACCAUAGGCAGAGCAAAGGAGAUAGAAGUUUACUGAAUAAACUGCAAGGGAACGACAGCCACAUCAGAUGGCCUCGCUGUGCUUGGAGAAACAAAUGAACAAUCAGAAGGUCAACAAAAACAGCUCUUCCGUGCACCUGACAUCAUGACCCAUGAAUUUCCCAGUGAGACAAGAACAACUUUAUCCUGAUGGUGACCGAGAGUGGCACUGAUGCCACAUUUGGGGCCAAUCGCUCACGUAUGAGAGAAUGACCAAAAGGGGGAACUCUUAAAUUCUCAACAAAAUUCUCCUCUUAGAAGGAGGCCAUGAGACUGAGGUGGUUCUAAUACCCCGGGAGUUUGGGUAAGCAAACCCAAGCCAAAGGCUGUAAACGCCUCAAGGAUAAGAGAUCAAAACCUAAGGACAACCAACCAGUUGAGCUUUUCCAAGUCCAGCACACUGAAGCUACGGUCAAUCAAAUAAUUUCCUUGCUUGGCUUCCACAUCUUUUCUAUAAAAGUCUCUCCCCUAGCUCCUGUUGGGGGAGCACUUCUGGCCAGUUCUGAUUGGGCACUGCCUGAUUUGAAUUGAUUUUUACUCAAAUAAACGCUUAAUAUUUCUAAUAUGUCUCUGUCUUUUAACCAUGUAAAGAACUCUGACAUUCAACAGUCAAAAUACACAACGCAAUAAAAACUUGGCCGAAGAUUUGAACAAUUCACCAAAGAUCUAUGGAUGACAAAUAAACACACGAAGAGAUGCCCAACACCAGCCAAUAGGCAAACAUAAACAAAAGUCACAGUGAAAUACCACUUCGCACCUAUUAGAAUGAAAAAUUAAAUAGACUCAUCACAGGAAGUAUCAGCAAGGAUUAGGAAAGCUGGAGCUCUCAUCUACCGCUGGUGGGCAUGUAAAAUGUUCCAACCGCUUUGGAAAGCAGUCUGUUACCAAAUUAAACUUACACUUACUAUAUGGUCAGCCGUUGCACAAAUAGAUAUUUACUCCAAAGAAAAGAAAGUGUGUGUCCAUUGAUAUACAUAACAUGAAUGACUCUCCAAGUAAUGAUGCCGAGUGAAGGAAGCAAACAAAAGCGAGUGCGUGGCGUAAGUCCAUUUAUAUAAAACUCGAGUUAAUGCAAAUUAAUCCCUACUCACAGGAAGCAAAUCAGAGGUUGUGGGGGAGGGGAGAGGACUUGAGGGAAGGAUUUUAAAGGGCUCCUUGUGUUGGUGUGGUCACGGUUUCAUGGCUGUUUACAUACGUCAAAACUUAUCUAAUUGUCCACUUCAAAUGUGUGCUGUUUUUAACGUGUCGUCUAGAACUCAAUAAUAUUUUUGUAAAGUUUUUAAAGAGAAGGCACCCCACAGAUGUAUCUGGAAUCAUGCAUUUUCUUAAUUCUAAGAAUACUUUCAAAUCGCUGGUAUCUAUUCAUCCAUCAACAUCUAUUCAGCCAAGCACUGAGCAAAACCGGCCCUGACUUACCUGGCUGUCUGUCUAGUGGGGGAGAGAGUCAAUUGUAUAUAUAAAGUAAUAAUGGUAUGUUAUGCUUACAGAGCACCUGUAUUUGUGAGGCGGUAAUUAAAAUAGAUUUUACUGAUUUUACCGA